AUGCUUCAUAGGAUAUCAUGUGAAAAUUCUUUUGGUCACAUCAUGUUUGACAACCCAUUGAACUUGUCAUAUGCUAUGAGUGAGAUCUCCCAUAUUGCCUCAUUUCAAUCUCAACAUAGUAACUAUGCAUGCCCCAUUAGAAUAAAUCUCAUUUGCACUUAUGGCAUAGAUGACGAGAUGAUGGCCAUAGGCUUUUGCUUCUCUUGUGAUGAUAUUGCCAUGCUUCCUUUACAUGAUUUGUGCAAUUCAUCUACUAUGUCAUGCCAUGAUCACAUUGUUCCAAAUAUGCAUUGUUUUGGAUGUUGUCAAUAUUCUCCACGUUAUGUUUCUACUCUUGCUCAUGAGGAGACCCCCAUAGUUUCCUCAUACAUAUUAGGAGAUUUUGAUUCAUCCCAUACUUUGCAUGAUUCACAUAAUUGCUUGCACCAUAUGCAUUCCAUGAAUAACAAUGCUCUAGAUAUUUCUCAUGAUACAUUACACAAUUUGAGUCUCCAUUAUGAAAUACAUAAUAACAAACCUCUCAUGAUGGAUGACAUGUUUCUAUAUCACACAUCUCAUUUAUUUAAGCAUUGGAUAUUUUGUGCUCACUAA
This 591-nucleotide ribosomal RNA is filed under the name Triticum aestivum (bread wheat). RNAcentral describes it as "partial small subunit ribosomal RNA". The record is from RNAcentral. Lineage: Eukaryota; Viridiplantae; Streptophyta; Magnoliopsida; Poales; Poaceae.